This 255-nucleotide ribosomal RNA is filed under the name uncultured bacterium. RNAcentral describes it as "partial 16S ribosomal RNA". It matches the Rfam family "Bacterial small subunit ribosomal RNA", at positions 524 to 776 of the family's 1533-position model. The record is from RNAcentral.
UACAGGAGGGGCGAAGCGUUGUUCGGAAUUACUGGGCGUAAAGGGCGCGUAGGCGGCCUGUUAAGUCGAACGUGAAAUCCCCGGGCUCAACCCGGGAACUGCGCCCGAUACUGGCAGGCUUGAAUUCGGGAGAGGGAUGCGGAAUUCCAGGUGGUAGCGGUGAAAUGCGUAGAUAUCUGGAGGAACACCGGUGGCGAAGGCGGCAUCCUGGACCGAGAUUGACGCUGAGGCGCGAAAGCCAGGGGAGCAAACGGG